GCUUACGACCACACCGGCCUGAGUCGCCUGAUCUCGUCUGAUCUCGGAAGCUAAGCAGGUUUCGGGCCUGGUUAGUACUUGGAUGGGAGACCGCCUGGGAUACAGGUGCUGUAAGCU
RNAcentral lists this ribosomal RNA (117 nucleotides) under Oncorhynchus kisutch (coho salmon). Lineage: Eukaryota; Metazoa; Chordata; Actinopteri; Salmoniformes; Salmonidae. The record is from RNAcentral.